Molecule: ribosomal RNA, 269 nt
Filed under: uncultured prokaryote
Description: partial 16S ribosomal RNA
Rfam family: Bacterial small subunit ribosomal RNA
Source: RNAcentral
UACGUAGGUGGCGAGCGUUGUCCGGAUUUACUGGGCGUAAAGGGAGCGUAGGCGGACUUUUAAGUGAGAUGUGAAAUACCCGGGCUCAACUUGGGUGCUGCAUUUCAAACUGGAAGUCUAGAGUGCAGGAGAGGAGAAUGGAAUUCCUAGUGUAGCGGUGAAAUGCGUAGAGAUUAAGAAGAACACCAGUGGCGAAGGCGAUUCUCUGGACUGUAACUGACGCUGAGGCUCGAAAGCGUGGGGAGCAAACAGGAUUAGAUACCCGGGUA